GGUUAAGCGACUAAGCGUACACGGUGGAUGCCCUGGCAGUCAGAGGCGAUGAAGGACGUGCUAAUCUGCGAAAAGCGUCGGUAAGGUGAUAUGAACCGUUAUAACCGGCGAUGUCCGAAUGGGGAAACCCAGUGCAAUUCGUUGCACUAUCGUUAACUGAAUACAUAGGUUAACGAGGCGAACCGGGGAACUGAAACAUCUAAGUACCCCGAGGAAAAGAAAUCAACCGAGAUUCCCCAGUAGCGGCGAGCGAACGGGGAGCAGCCCAGAGUCUGAAUCAGCUUGUGUGUUAGUGGAACGGUCUGGAAAGUCCGACGGUACAGGGUGAUAGUCCCGUACACCAAAAUGCACAGGUUGUGAACUCGAAGAGUAGGGCGGGACACGUGGUAUCCUGUCUGAAUAUGGGGACCAUCCUCCAAGGCUAAAUACUCCUGACUGACCGAUAGUGAACCAGUACCGUGAGGGAAAGGCGAAAAGAACCCCGGCGAGGGAGUGAAAAAGAACCUGAAACCGUGUACGUACAAGCAGUGGGAGCACCUUCGGGUGUGACUGCGUACCUUUGUAUAAUGGGUCAGCGACUUAUAUUCUGUAGCAAGGUUAACCGUAUAGGGGAGCCGCAGGAAACCGAGUCUUAACUGGGCGUUAAGUUGCAGGGUAUAGACCCGAAACCCGGUGAUCUAGCCAUGGGCAGGUUGAAGGUUGGGUAACACUAACUGGAGGACCGAACCGACUAAUGUUGAAAAAUUAGCGGAUGACUUGUGGCUGGGGUGAAAGGCCAAUCAAACCGGGAGAUAGCUGGUUCUCCCCGAAAGCUAUUUAGGUAGCGCCUCGUGAAUUCAUCUUCGGGGUAGAGCACUGUUUCGGCUAGGGGUCAUCCCGACUUACCAACCCGAUGCAAACUACGAAUACCGAAGAAUGUUAUCACGGGAGACACACGGCGGGUGCUAACGUCCGUCGUGAAGAGGGAAACAACCCAGACCGCCAGCUAAGGUCCCAAAGUCAUGGUUAAGUGGGAAACGAUGUGGGAAGGCACAGACAGCCAGGAUGUUGGCUUAGAAGCAGCCAUCAUUUAAAGAAAGCGUAAUAGCUCACUGGUCGAGUCGGCCUGCGCGGAAGAUGUAACGGGGCUAAACCAUGCACCGAAGCUGCGGCAGCGACACUAUGUGUUGUUGGGUAGGGAGCGUUCUGUAAGCCUGCGAAGGUGUGCUGUGAGGCAUGCUGGAGGUAUCAGAAGUGCGAAUGCUGACAUAAGUAACGAUAAAGCGGGUGAAAAGCCCGCUCGCCGGAAGACCAAGGGUUCCUGUCCAACGUUAAUCGGGGCAGGGUGAGUCGACCCCUAAGGCGAGGCCGAAAGGCGUAGUCGAUGGGAAACAGGUUAAUAUUCCUGUACUUGGUGUUACUGCGAAGGGGGACGGAGAAGGCUAUGUUAGCCGGGCGACGGUUGUCCCGGUUUAAGCAUGUAGGCUGAUUAUCCAGGCAAAUCCGGAUAAUCAAGGCUGAGGUGUGAUGACGAGGCACUACGGUGCUGAAGUAACAAAUGCCCUGCUUCCAGGAAAAGCCUCUAAGCAUCAGGUAACAUCAAAUCGUACCCCAAACCGACACAGGUGGUCAGGUAGAGAAUACCAAGGCGCUUGAGAGAACUCGGGUGAAGGAACUAGGCAAAAUGGUGCCGUAACUUCGGGAGAAGGCACGCUGGUGUGUAGGUGAAGCCCCUGCGGGUGGAGCUGAGACCAGUCGAAGAUACCAGCUGGCUGCAACUGUUUAUUAAAAACACAGCACUGUGCAAACACGAAAGUGGACGUAUACGGUGUGACGCCUGCCCGGUGCCGGAAGGUUAAUUGAUGGGGUUAUCCGUAAGGAGAAGCUCUUGAUCGAAGCCCCGGUAAACGGCGGCCGUAACUAUAACGGUCCUAAGGUAGCGAAAUUCCUUGUCGGGUAAGUUCCGACCUGCACGAAUGGCGUAAUGAUGGCCAGGCUGUCUCCACCCGAGACUCAGUGAAAUUGAACUCGCUGUGAAGAUGCAGUGUACCCGCGGCAAGACGGAAAGACCCCGUGAACCUUUACUAUAGCUUGACACUGAACAUUGAGCCUUGAUGUGUAGGAUAGGUGGGAGGCUUUGAAGCGUGGACGCCAGUCUGCGUGGAGCCAACCUUGAAAUACCACCCUUUAAUGUUUGAUGUUCUAACGUUGGCCCCUUACCGGGGUUGCGGACAGUGUCUGGUGGGUAGUUUGACUGGGGCGGUCUCCUCCCAAAGCGUAACGGAGGAGCACGAAGGUUAGCUAAUCCUGGUCGGACAUCAGGAGGUUAGUGCAAUGGCAUAAGCUAGCUUGACUGCGAGCGUGACGGCGCGAGCAGGUGCGAAAGCAGGUCAUAGUGAUCCGGUGGUUCUGAAUGGAAGGGCCAUCGCUCAACGGAUAAAAGGUACUCCGGGGAUAACAGGCUGAUACCGCCCAAGAGUUCAUAUCGACGGCGGUGUUUGGCACCUCGAUGUCGGCUCAUCACAUCCUGGGGCUGAAGUAGGUCCCAAGGGUAUGGCUGUUCGCCAUUUAAAGUGGUACGCGAGCUGGGUUUAGAACGUCGUGAGACAGUUCGGUCCCUAUCUGCCGUGGGCGCUGGAGAAUUGAGGGGCUGCUCCUAGUACGAGAGGACCGGAGUGGACGCAUCACUGGUGUUCGGGUUGUCAUGCCAAUGGCACUGCCCGGUAGCUAAAUGCGGAAGAGAUAAGUGCUGAAAGCAUCUAAGCACGAAACUUGCCCCGAGAUGAGUUCUCCUGAGACUUUAAGUCUCCUGAAGGAACGUUGAAGACGACGACGUUGAUAGGCCGGGUGUGUAAGCGCAGCGAUGCGUUGAGCUAACCGGUACUAAUGAACCGUGAGGCUUAACCUU
This 2887-nucleotide ribosomal RNA is filed under the name Klebsiella pneumoniae. Its description in RNAcentral is "23S ribosomal RNA". It matches the Rfam family "Bacterial large subunit ribosomal RNA". Lineage: Bacteria; Pseudomonadati; Pseudomonadota; Gammaproteobacteria; Enterobacterales; Enterobacteriaceae. The record is from RNAcentral.